UACGUAGGGUGCGAGCGUUAAUCGGAAUUACUGGGCGUAAAGCGUGCGCAGGCGGUUUUGUAAGCCGGAUGUGAAACCCCCGGGCUUAACCUGGGAAUGGCAUUCGGGACUGCAAGGCUGGAGUGCGGCAGAGGAGACUGGAAUUCCUGGUGUAGCAGUGAAAUGCGUAGAUAUCGGAAGGAACAUCAGUGGCGAAAGCGACUUCCUGGACCAAUACUGACGCUCAUGUGCGAAAGCGUGGGGAGCAAACAGG
Molecule: ribosomal RNA, 253 nt
Filed under: uncultured bacterium
Lineage: Bacteria
Description: partial 16S ribosomal RNA
Rfam family: Bacterial small subunit ribosomal RNA
Source: RNAcentral